Monodelphis domestica (gray short-tailed opossum) is the source of this 4161-nucleotide long non-coding RNA. RefSeq lists it as uncharacterized. The record is from RefSeq and is a predicted model, not a curated record. Lineage: Eukaryota; Metazoa; Chordata; Mammalia; Didelphimorphia; Didelphidae.
CAUGCGCCUCGCUCUUGCACUCCCCCUCCAAAGGAGGGGGAACGGGAGGAGUGGCAGUGCUGAGGGGCUUGGAAAGCGGUUCAGGAGGGGCGGUGCCACGGACCCGCGAGCCAAGUCAUAGGAUCAGAGGAUUUAAAGCUAGAAGAAGGGACCUCCAUGGUAGCUCAGUCAUUUUACAGAAAGGGGAAACUGAGGCCCCGGAAUGUGUUUGUGACUUGCUCCCGGCCAAAUGGAUAGCAGAGUUGGAUUUGGAACUCGACCCCAGACACAUUUGCUUUCCUCCCUACAUCGUACCGCUUUUGAGCGAAGACUGGCGUCACUCCCGCCAACCCCCCCCCCUUUCCCCCCAUCACCUCCUGUCUGCGUCUUCCCGAACAGAGGGGAUAGAUGGGAAGGGGUGGGGGAGGGCCCUGCCACCCCAGCUUCCAGGCCUGUCCUGGGUUCUGGAUUCUACCCUUUGGUCUUGGGUUUGGACUCUUCUGCUAGCUCGAGCUAUCUCCCGCCCCCAUCCCUAAGUCGCGGGGAGCCGGGUAAGGGAUGCCAGGCGGUGCGGACGGUGCUGGGAGAAGUUGGGCACUGAUUUGGAGGCUCUGGGCAAAGUGGCAGGGGAUUGGGGCUCGGGGCGGAGGGGGCGGGCUGGGACCGUCCAGGCCCCACCCCUUCCCUCCCUCUCCGGCUCCCGAGUAAACAGGGACGUCUGUCGGGACUCGACUGAGCUUGUCCUUUCGCCCGGGGUUAAGGGAUAGAGCCCACCUUAGUGCCCGGGUCUCCCCGCCCCCAUCCUUCUCCCCCAACCCCCCCCCCCUCGCCUGGAGCUGGGCAGGUUUGGGGCGAGCUAUUUGGAAGGGAGUGAGUCACUGGAUGGGUGGGGCGGCUUGCGCCUCCGCCUCCCCCAGGAGGUCAGAGUUUUUUGGGCUUUUCCCACUUCCCGGACUUAGGGAAUGAGUUAGGGACAGGCGUUCCAAGUCUCUGGGUUCCAGACUCCCGGGAACGAAGGUUUGCAAUCAGAAAGGGGGGACUAAGAUCCGGGCUGUAAUUUGUAGGGUGCCCCGGGUUUUCGCCUAGGAGCGCCCAGGUUCUGAGUUUGCAGUCCUUAAGUUGCAGCAGGCAGCCCAGGAGCCCCGGUGUAUGUGCGUCCCGCCAUCGCCCCCUUCUGGCCACUCCGCGACCUGCAUCGCUGAGAGCCUGACCCAAGAGAGAGUUAAGGGGUAAGAGACGUCUAUGAGCCCGUGAGCUUCACAAGGUCAGGAGAGCAACAGACCAGAAGUCCAUGAGCUAAGAUUUGCCAGAGGCCAGCUGCUAAGGAACGAAGUCUGGAGCAACCUGUUUCACCUAGCAUAGAUCAAAGGCAACCAAGAGAGAUCUAGUGAUUCAUCCGUCUGCUAUACCCUAUGGACGCCUCUAAUUCUCACACUGGAUUCUAAAACCUCUGUAGUUCAGUUUCUGGCCUCAUAAUCUCUCCAGAGACACUAAUGAUACCUUAAUUGCCCGACCUUUUCUCAAUCCUAUCCUUCUUGACCUCUUUGCAGCCUUUGACAUUGUGUGUGGCUCACCGUCUCCUCCUGGAUAUGCUUUCUUUUUAUCUUCCUCCUACCUGUCUGGCUUCUCCGAUUCCAGCAGUUCCUUCUAUGGAGGAGACAGCAUUUUGGUUUUGUUUUUUAACAUGAGUCCUUUGGAGUUGUCCUGGAUCCUUGCCUUGUGAUAAUAGUUAAGUCAUUGACAGUUGAUCAUCAGGCAUUAUGGCUGUUACAAUGUCCUCCUGGUUCUACUCAAUUCACUUUCCAUCCGUUCCUGUAAGUCUUCCCAGGUUUUUUGUGUUUGUCUUGUUCUUUUUUUGGAUAGCACAAUAGUAGGAAGAGUCCCUGCCUGAAUAUUAACCCAGGACAUACUCACUAACCUCAGGUGUCCUCAAAAUCUCUAUUCCAGGCCGUCUUCUUUUCUCUCUUUUCAUUAUCUUCCUUGGGAAUUUCAUUAGAUCCCAUGGGUUCAAUUAUCCUCUCUAUGCAAUUGAUUUCUGAAUUUGUUUAUUCAAUCCUAGUUUCUCUCUUCACUUGCAAGACUACAUCGCUAUUUUUUUUUUAAACCCUUACCUUCCGUCUUGGAGUCAAUACUGUGUAUUGGCUCCAAGGCAGAAGAGUGGUAAGGGCUAGGCAAUGGGGGUCAAGUGACUUGCCCAGGGUCACACAGCUGGGAAGUGGCUGAGGCCAGAUUUGAACCUAGGACCUCCCGUCUCUAGGACUGGCUCUUAAUCCACUGAGCUACCCAGCUGCCCCCUACUACAUCGCUAUUUGCCUUUUGGAAAUGUCAGACUGGGUCUAAAGGCAUUUCAAAAGCAACAUGUUUAAAACAGAACUCAUUAUCUUUUCUACCAAAUCCUCCCUUCUUCUGAACCUCCCUAUUACUGUUGAGGGCCCAUCAGCCUUCCAGUCACCUAUGUCAGCAACCUCCUGGUGUCAUUUUCAAUUCCUCUCUCAAUAUGCAAACAAAUAUAUACAAACCAAGCGAUAUAUUGGAUGAAUAUACUAUUGGGUAAUAACUAAGAGCAAAAGGGAAGGCACUAGAAUUAAGAGGCUUCCUGUAAAAGAUGGGAUUUUAGUUGGAACCUAAAGGAAGCUAGAGAAGUCAAUAGGCAGAUUUGAAGACAGAGAGCACAUAUAAUCAAUAUGUUACCAAGUCUUGCCAUUCAUAUAUGCAUUUCUUGGAUACAUUCACUCUCUCCAUUUACAUGGCCACAGUCCUGGGGAAGGCCUUCAUCAGCUCAUGCCUAGACUGUUGCAAUAGCCUUUCAAUUAAUCUCCAUGCGUCAUAUCUCUCUCUGUUCCAAACAAUUCUCCAGUCAGUUGUCAAAGGCAUUUUCUUAAAAUAUGGGUUUGCCCCAAAUGACAAAUGGCCAAAGGAUAUGAACAGGCAAUUUUCAGAUGAAGAAAUUAAAACUAUCUUUAGUUAUAUGGAAAAAUACUCCAAAUCACUAUUAAUUUAGAGAAAUGGAAAUUAAAGUAAUUCUGAAGUACUACCUCACCCUAUCAGACUGGCUAAUAUGACAAAAAAAGGAAAACGAUAAAUGUUGGAGGGGAUAUAGAAAAAUUGGAACACUAUUAUAUUGUUGAUGGAGCUGUGAACUGAUACAACUAUUCUAGAGAGCAAUUUGGAAACUUGCCCAAAGGGCUAUACAAUUGUGGUGCAUACUGUUUAACCCAGCAAUACUAGGCCCGUAUCCCAAAAUGGUCAAAGAAAGGGGGAAAGUACCUAUAUGUAUGAAAAUAUUUUUAGUAGCUCUUUUUGUGUUGGCAAAGAAUUGGAAACUGAAGGGAUGUCGAUCAAUUGGGGAAUGGCUGAACAAAUUGUGGCAUAUGAUUGUAAUGAAAUACUAUUUUGCUGUAAGAAAUGAUGAACAAGAUGAUCAUAAAAAACAAACAAACCUGGAAAGACUUAUAAGAAGCAAUGCAAAGUGAAGUGAGCAGAACCAGGUGUAAAAUUUAAAAUUAAAUCUUAUAGUAAAAAUAUCAUUUUUUAGGAGAUUUAUUAAAUGAUCAUUAGAAAUCAAGGAAUAAAGAGGAUACAAAAUAAAGACCACAUGCCCAUGGUUGAUUAGCCACUUCAAAAUCCCCACACUUAGCUUACUCCACCACCAUGUUUGCUGCAUCAUGCCAAAAAAGGCUGAGCAGGACUGCCCACUGAAUAUUUAUUCCCUGUCUACAGGAAGUAUGCAAUGACAGGAAGUCAGUGGGCUCCAGGGAAAUGUAGUUCUUUUUUAGGGUAACAGAUAAUACACAGGACAACCUUGUACACAGUAAUGGUAAUAAUGCAUGAUGAUCAACUGUGAAUGACUUAACUAUUAUCUGCAAGGCAAGGAUCCAGGACAACUUCAAGAGACUCAUAACAAAAACAAAACAAAACCCAAUAUCUACUCCAUAGAAGGAACUGACAGAAUCUCAAUGCAGGUUGAAGUAUACAAUUGAAGUAUAGGCAAUAUGUAUCUUCUUCCACAACAUGAUGAACAAGGAAUUAUGUAUUACAUGAUAUUACAUGUGUAACCUAUAACAAAUGUCCUGCUGUCUUAGGGAGGAGGGAAGGAUGGGAGAGAGGGAGAAAACAUCAGAACAUGAUUUUCAAAUUGUAUCAACAUGUCAAAAAAAUUAAAGUAUGGGUCUACCUAUGUUA